AUGUAUUUGAUCUGUGCCUGACAUCGUGAUAGAGACGCCGCCAUAUUGAGUAUUGAGGCGGCUGCCGUGCAAUUAAAAUUGAACUAUUAAAGUGUUGUGCAAAAUAUCCAACGGAGGAGGAAUUAUAUGCCGCAUGGAUAUUUAUUUAGAGGCCGCUCGCUGGUGAAGUGGUUCGUCGGCCGGUGACGCGGCGGCCGGUGAGACGGGCACGGCUUGCUGGUGAUCAAGACGGUGACGGUGACGCGUCGGUGACGUAGCGGCGAGAUGGAGUGCUGUCUGUCGGAGGAGGCCAAAGAGCAGAAGCGCAUCAACCAGGAAAUCGAGCGGCAACUCAGGCGGGACAAACGAGAUGCCAGGAGGGAACUUAAACUGCUUCU
Ctenocephalides felis (cat flea) is the source of this 377-nucleotide long non-coding RNA. RefSeq lists it as uncharacterized. The transcript has 3 exons. Lineage: Eukaryota; Metazoa; Arthropoda; Insecta; Siphonaptera; Pulicidae. The record is from RefSeq and is a predicted model, not a curated record.